GGGCUCGCACCCGACGACGGUGCAGGAAGCCGGUGCGAGUCCGGCGCGGUCCCGCCACUGUCAUCGGGGAGUGCGUCCCCACCCACGGUCACGGCCCCACCCGGGGCGGGAAGGCCGGGACGCGCGUCGAUCCGGGAGCCAGGAGACUGGCCGUCGUCGCAGGAGAUCC
This 169-nucleotide non-coding RNA is filed under the name Pseudonocardia sp. The record is from RNAcentral. Lineage: Bacteria; Bacillati; Actinomycetota; Actinomycetes; Pseudonocardiales; Pseudonocardiaceae. RNAcentral also lists the same sequence under 1 other name.